GAUGAACGCUAGCGGGAGGCCUAACACAUGCAAGCCGAGCGGUAUUUGUUCUUCGGAGCGGAGAGAGCGGCGCACGGGUGCGGAACACGUGUGCAACCUGCCUUUAUCUGGGGGAUAGCCUUUCGAAAGGAAGAUUAAUACCCCAUAAUAUAUUGAGUGGCAUCCCUUGAGAUUGAAAACUGCGGUGGAUAGAGAUGGGCACGCGGCUGAUUAGCUAGUUGGUGAGGUAACGGCUUACCAAGGCAUUGAUGGUUAGGGGGCCUGAGAGGGUGACAGGCCACAUUGGGAAUGAGAUACGGCCCAGACUCCUACGGGAGGCAGCAGUGGGGAAUAUUGCACAAUGGGCGGAAGCCUGAUGCAGCAACGCCGCGUGCGGGAUGACGGCCUUCGGGUUGUAAACCGCUUUCGCCUGUGACGAAGCGUGAGUGACGGUAAUGGGUAAAGAAGCACCGGCUAACUACGUG
Molecule: ribosomal RNA, 464 nt
Filed under: uncultured bacterium
Lineage: Bacteria
Description: partial 16S ribosomal RNA
Rfam family: Bacterial small subunit ribosomal RNA
Source: RNAcentral